Eucalyptus grandis is the source of this 365-nucleotide long non-coding RNA. RefSeq lists it as uncharacterized. The record is from RefSeq and is a predicted model, not a curated record. Lineage: Eukaryota; Viridiplantae; Streptophyta; Magnoliopsida; Myrtales; Myrtaceae. The transcript is spliced from 3 exons.
UUUCUGAAAGCAAGACAUAUGUGGGCUGAAAUGAUUCAAUGGAGGUUUACCAGCAGAACUAGCUGCAAAGUUAGUGGUUAAGGAGGCAAUACAACCAGCGAAAUUGUUAUCGGUGGAAAGGCUGAAAAGGGCUUUAAGAGUUGUACCCGGCUCAGGAAGUUUGGAGGGCCAUUUUGCAAUUUCAUCUUGUUGAUAGAGCCCCUGAAGAUUGGGAGAUAAAAGUUACCUGGGCUUGUUUUGUUUUUAGAGGAAUGGCAUUCCCCCAAUUUUAUAAUGUAGAAACAAGAUUGAACGUUUCAGCUAUUGGUUGAUUGGGAGCUUAAGCUUUUAUUUUUGUCAAAUGAUAAUUUAAAGUUUCAAAAAAA